This 253-nucleotide ribosomal RNA is filed under the name uncultured bacterium. RNAcentral describes it as "partial 16S ribosomal RNA". It matches the Rfam family "Bacterial small subunit ribosomal RNA", at positions 524 to 776 of the family's 1533-position model. The record is from RNAcentral.
UACGUAGGGGGCAAGCGUUGUCCGGAAUCAUUGGGCGUAAAGCGCGUGUAGGCGGCUCGGUAAGUCCGCUCUGAAAGUCCAGGGCUCAACCCUGGGAUGCGGGUGGAUACUGCCGGGCUCGAGUCCGGAAGAGGCGAGUGGAAUUCCCGGUGUAGCGGUGAAAUGCGCAGAUAUCGGGAGGAACACCAAUGGCGAAGGCGACUACCUGGCCUGUUCUUGACGCUGAGGCGCGAAAGCUAGGGGAGCAAACGGG